CCUACAGGAGGCUGCAGUGGGGAAUAUUGGACAAUGGGGGCAACCCUGAUCCAGCCAUGCCGCGUGUGUGAAGAAGGCCCUCGGGUUGUAAAGCACUUUCAGUGAGGAAGAACGCCUGGUGGUUAAUACCCAUCAGGAAAGACAUCACUCACAGAAGAAGCACCGGCUAACUCCGUGCCAGCAGCCGCGGUAAUACGGAGGGUGCGAGCGUUAAUCGGAAUUACUGGGCGUAAAGCGCGCGUAGGUGGCUUGAUAAGCCGGUUGUGAAAGCCCCGGGCUCAACCUGGGAACGGCAUCCGGAACUGUCAAGCUAGAGUGCAGGAGAGGAAGGUAGAAUUCCCGGUGUAGCGGUGAAAUGCGUAGAGAUCGGGAGGAAUACCAGUGGCGAAGGCGGCCUUCUGGACUGACACUGACACUGAGGUGCGAAAGCGUGGGUAGCAAACAGGAUUAGAUACCCCUGUAGUC
This 465-nucleotide ribosomal RNA is filed under the name Vreelandella stevensii. Its description in RNAcentral is "partial 16S ribosomal RNA". It matches the Rfam family "Bacterial small subunit ribosomal RNA", at positions 338 to 795 of the family's 1533-position model. The record is from RNAcentral. Lineage: Bacteria; Pseudomonadati; Pseudomonadota; Gammaproteobacteria; Oceanospirillales; Halomonadaceae.